GACAGAUUCAAGACGAUCGGCCCUCACGCUGCCGAACACAGCCAGGGAUGAUGAAAACUUCCACUGUGUUCGAGAAGAUGAACUCUUGAAUUUAUUUUCAACUCCACUUGAAUAAAAAUGUAGCACAAAACGAAGAAGUCCUGCUGUAGCCCAUAAGUGUGCCAGUUCUCACUGCUCGAUGCCCACUUUAAUGACCGUGGUAAAUGAACAAGGACAGGGGAAAAGAAAAGAAAAAAUGAAGAACAAUAAAGAUGCAUGGGAAAGAAAGAGAAAAAGGACAGAAAAAAGGGAAGAAAACAAUGUCAGGAGCACAGGAAGAAGAAGAAAAGUAAGAAGAGUGCUAUGGAAAGACAGAAUGUCUUGAUGUUUCCAGUCUCUCAACUCCUCUGAAGCAUGACGUGAUUCUGGGAGUGGCCAACAGGGCCAGGGCUCGCGCUGAGAACUUCCACACAAAGACAGAACAAAACAGACAAAACAAACAGAACAAAGCAAUUGGUAAUGUUGUUUGAGAGUCAUUUCUUAACCAUCUCAAAUGAUAGACUGGACUAUAUUUUUUGUUUGAUCAAAAAUCUUGAACUGUAGUCAGAUCUUCAUAAUAUAUGAUGUGCAUACUUGAGCCAA
This 621-nucleotide long non-coding RNA is filed under the name Fukomys damarensis (Damara mole-rat). RNAcentral describes it as "lncRNA (ENSFDAG00000021663.1)". The record is from RNAcentral. Lineage: Eukaryota; Metazoa; Chordata; Mammalia; Rodentia; Bathyergidae.